GUUAGUGAUGAUUUAUGAAUUGUUGCUUGUAUAACAUGUACGCUGGAGUUUCAACAGAUUGAACACAGUUUUGCUAUGAAGUGUUUGUGAUUUUACAGUCCCUGAAGAGUUACCACAUGUGAUGGAUGUAGAAAUAACAAUCUGAAGAACUGCAAUAAGCAUAGGAAGAAGUGGAAAUCACAGCUAUUCUGCAGAUAUGCCAGGCACUCUCUCUGGGGGCAGCAAAGACAGGCUACACUUGACCUGAUCUGCAUCGUUCACUGGAUCCAACAUCUGCGUCAUGAUACCAGCGGUCAGGGCCUAAUUUUCCUCACCUUUCCAUUGGACUUCAAUGAACUUCCAUCGCCUUUAACAC
Molecule: long non-coding RNA, 355 nt
Filed under: Cyanistes caeruleus (blue tit)
Lineage: Eukaryota; Metazoa; Chordata; Aves; Passeriformes; Paridae
Description: lncRNA (ENSCCEG00000014901.1)
Source: RNAcentral